Xiphophorus couchianus (Monterrey platyfish) is the source of this 165-nucleotide long non-coding RNA. RefSeq lists it as uncharacterized. Lineage: Eukaryota; Metazoa; Chordata; Actinopteri; Cyprinodontiformes; Poeciliidae. The transcript is spliced from 2 exons. The record is from RefSeq and is a predicted model, not a curated record.
AGUGUCUUAUGACAUCAGUACUGUACUACCUUCAGUUGGUGCUAGGCUGCCUGAGAAGAGGGGAAUUCCGACUCCUGUGAAUGGAAGAGCUGCAUGUUAAAGGGCAUUUUUAUUUCUAUUUGUGCAGGCCUCUGCCAGCAACCUGCAUUAAAGAACAACCAGCAA